CACACACACACACACACACACACACACAGUAUAGCUUUUAUUCAAUGCUAUUUUCUUUGAAGCUGAUCUGCUGUCUGCUAAUGUUUAUUGAACACAGAAUCAAAGAGGAUACAGCUCUGAGCAUCAGGAGGUUAGGUCAACACAAGUUCACCUCAGAUGCGUAAUGUCAGCAAUCUAUUACUGUACAGCUUACUCAGCGUACUCUAUUUAACCAUAGAAUGUUGAGUUGUUUUGUACAAACCAUAACAUUCCAUUAUACAUAUUUAUUACACGCCUCUGUGGGAUACUUGAUUCUGAUUGGUCAGUCGCGAGUUGACAUCCCUAGAUAACAACAAAGGCUCAUCCGGGUAACCGCAGUUCCACUGCACACUUGCUUGAACAAUUUUUCUUCUUGGUGGAAGCUUUGCGUUUUUUUAAGCAGCUGCUGUGGCUGGAGUUUAUACAUUUCGAAGAAGGGGCUAUUUGCGCCAGCUCGCGGCUAUGUGACAGGCACUUCUCUGACGAAUCCUUCACCAAUUUGGGGAUGGUUACUGCUGGGAUAACGUGCUACCUUACAUUAGCAAACACGGCUGUUCCGACUCUUUACACUGUAGGCGCUUCCCCUCCCGCACGAGUAAGUAUUGUUUUCUUCAUAAGCUCCUUAGAUGUUGCACUUCUUUCAUCAAAAUGUAAUCACUAAGGUCUUCGCCUCAGAAACAACCUUUCAUGUAUGCUAUGAGUGACGUGAGAGCGUCAUUACGCAGGAAUCAUUUGAACCGGAUCUUUAGAGCCGAUUCUUUGAAAUGAACAGUUAAAUUUCGCUCCAGAAUUCUUCACAAAUUUACAGCAGUACGAAAUGGGCUUCUAUGACUUUCUUAGCUAGAUAGAUACGGCUGUUCCGACAAUAUACACCGGUGGUCCGGCACCGAGAGAUAGAAGCCAAUAACACGCGAGGUGGGCUGCCAGUGUAAUACUCCGCUUCUGAAGAGCGUUGCGGUCCAAGCAGUACGCACCCAAAAAAAGCCAAAACGGAGAAGUAAAG
Molecule: long non-coding RNA, 1021 nt
Organism: Carassius auratus (goldfish)
Lineage: Eukaryota; Metazoa; Chordata; Actinopteri; Cypriniformes; Cyprinidae
Exons: 3
Source: RefSeq, a predicted model, not a curated record